This 539-nucleotide ribosomal RNA is filed under the name uncultured Gammaproteobacteria bacterium. RNAcentral's name for it is "bacterial SSU rRNA". It matches the Rfam family "Bacterial small subunit ribosomal RNA", at positions 44 to 572 of the family's 1533-position model. Lineage: Bacteria; Pseudomonadati; Pseudomonadota; Gammaproteobacteria. The record is from RNAcentral.
AGGCCUAAUACAUGCAAGUCGAACGGCAGCACAGCAGUAGCAAUACUGUGGGUGGCGAGUGGCGGACGGGUGAGGAAUACAUCGGAAUCUACCUUUUCGUGGGGGAUAACGUAGGGAAACUUACGCUAAUACCGCAUAAGACCUUCGGGUGAAAGUGGGGGACCUUCGGGCCUCACGCGGAUAGAUGAGCCGAUGUCGGAUUAGCUUGUUGGCGGGGUAAAAGCCCACCAAGGCGACGAUCCGUAGCUGGUCUGAGAGGAUGAUCAGCCACACUGGAACUGAGACACGGUCCAGACUCCUACGGGAGGCAGCAGUGGGGAAUAUUGGACAAUGGGCGCAAGCCUGAUCCAGCCAUACCGCGUGGGUGAAGAAGGCCUUCGGGUUGUAAAGCCCUUUUGUUGGGAAAGAAAUCCUGCCGGUUAAUAACCAGUAGGGAUGACGGUACCCAAAGAAUAAGCACCGGCUAACUUCGUGCCAGCAGCCGCGGUAAUACGAAGGGUGCAAGCGUUACUCGGAAUUACUGGGCGUAAAGCGUGCGU